Molecule: ribosomal RNA, 332 nt
Filed under: uncultured Dokdonella sp.
Lineage: Bacteria; Pseudomonadati; Pseudomonadota; Gammaproteobacteria; Lysobacterales; Rhodanobacteraceae
Description: bacterial SSU rRNA
Rfam family: Bacterial small subunit ribosomal RNA
Source: RNAcentral
UGCGUAGGUGGUUUGUUAAGUCUGCUGUGAAAGCCCUGGGCUCAACCUGGGAAUGGCGGUGGAUACUGACAAGCUAGAGUGCGGUAGAGGAGGGUGGAAUUCCCGGUGUAGCGGUGAAAUGCGUAGAGAUCGGGAGGAACAUCAGUGGCGAAGGCGGCCCUCUGGACCAGCACUGACGCUGAGGCACGAAAGCGUGGGGAGCAAACAGGAUUAGAUACCCUGGUAGUCCACGCCCUAAACGAUGCGAACUGGACGUUGGGCACAAUUCGGUGCUCAGUGUCGAAGCUAACGCGUUAAGUUCGCCGCCUGGGGAGUACGCUCGCAAGAGUGAA